AUGUUGCUUCUCCUUGCACAGAUGCUGAUGGAACGGUGUCUAUUGAACAGCUAUGCAUACAAUGUUCUUCUCCGUUGUUUCCUCGCCAAGGAGACAAUUCUUGAGGCUGCUCUGUUGUUCAACAAGAUGGUGGAUUAUGGCUUUGUUCUUGACCAAGAGACAUCUGAACUGUUAGUCCCUGACAUGCCCGUAUUUUCGUUACUCUGCAGGGGUCUCAGAAAUUUACUAAAAGUGGUAAGUAUAGAUGGAAUGGCAAGCCCUAGAAAUUAUAACAUUAUCAUUUAUAGCCUUAUCAAGGAAGGCUUCAAGAGCGAGGCAUGUAAGUUUCUAGAUCAAAUGCUAGACAAAAGAUGGGUACCUGAUUCAAAGAUACAUCGUGUGUUGGUUGCACCGCUGAUGGAGAGGAGGCCAGAGAAGUCGACAAUGCCUUCCAAACAGCCAAUGAUGACACUGUGA
RNAcentral lists this ribosomal RNA (456 nucleotides) under Triticum aestivum (bread wheat). Its description in RNAcentral is "partial small subunit ribosomal RNA". Lineage: Eukaryota; Viridiplantae; Streptophyta; Magnoliopsida; Poales; Poaceae. The record is from RNAcentral.